AGAGUUCUUCACGGGCCAGCACUCCGCCCCAUACAACAUCGCAGGUCUAACCACGGCUCUGUAGAAUUUCCCCUUGAGUUUAUGUGGAAUUUUCUUGUCGCACAGGACCCCUGAAGCAAGCCUCUACUUUGACCACCCCGCUUCUAUCCGAUGGGUGACGUCCCCGUCAUUCUCUCCGUCCCCCUGAAUCACAGACCCAAGAUAUCGGACACUGUCCCUCUUGGCGAUGGCCUGAGAACCAAG
This 243-nucleotide long non-coding RNA is filed under the name Nicotiana benthamiana. RNAcentral describes it as "long non-coding RNA (NBEN_LNC042275)". The record is from RNAcentral. Lineage: Eukaryota; Viridiplantae; Streptophyta; Magnoliopsida; Solanales; Solanaceae.